Molecule: ribosomal RNA, 472 nt
Filed under: uncultured bacterium
Lineage: Bacteria
Description: bacterial SSU rRNA
Rfam family: Bacterial small subunit ribosomal RNA
Source: RNAcentral
GACGAACGCNGGCGGCGUGCUUAACACAUGCAAGUCGAACGGAGCGAAUGAAAGCUUGCUUUUAUGAGCUUAGUGGCAAACGGGUGAGUAACACGUAGACAACCUGCCGACAGGAUGGGGACAACAUUCCGAAAGGAAUGCUAAUACCGAAUGAAGUCGAGGGAAGGCAUCUUCCUUCGAUGAAAGAUGGCCUCUGAACAUGCUAUCACCUGUCGAUGGGUCUGCGUCUGAUUAGCUAGUUGGUGAGGUAACGGCUCACCAAGGCGACGAUCAGUAGCCGGUCUGAGAGGAUGAACGGCCACAUUGGGACUGAGACACGGCCCAGACUCCUACGGGAGGCAGCAGUGGGGAAUCUUCCGCAAUGGGCGCAAGCCUGACGGAGCAACGCCGCGUGAGUGAAGGAGGUCUUCGGAUCGUAAAGCUCUGUUGACGGGGACGAACGUGCGAAGGGUGAAUANUCCUUGCAANGACG